Scomber scombrus (Atlantic mackerel) is the source of this 6084-nucleotide RNA transcript. It is a transcript of the gene named WASP homolog-associated protein with actin, membranes and microtubules, with no coding region annotated. The record is from RefSeq and is a predicted model, not a curated record. NCBI's taxonomy places the organism in Eukaryota, Metazoa, Chordata, Actinopteri, Scombriformes, Scombridae. The transcript is spliced from 13 exons.
UGGCGGACGUUGUAAACAGAGCCAGCAGUUUGGCGGAUUGAACAAAGUGAAACGGCUCUUUUUAUUGAACAAAACAAGAUGAACAGCAUUGAAUGUGAGAGGUUAGACAGUCUGGAGGGCUGGGUGGCCGUCAAGAGCAACAUAUUUGAGGAAACGGAGUCGUUUAAGCUGGGUUUUAUCGUGCAGUGGAACGUCAUCGAGUGUAAGUUUGCUGUCACCUGCCACAAUCGGACAUUACAGAGACAGAAGAGGAGAGCUGAAGUCAAUGUGGGAGACUCUGAAAUAAGCUGGGCUGGACUCUUUUCCGUCAGCGACUUAAAACACAUCCAUCAACAAUUCACAUGUGUCGCAGACGUCCUGGCCUCCUGCUUCCCGGACUUGUCUGAGUUUGAGGAGGGCAACAUUUGGGACCUGCUCUUCCUGAGUCGGAGGUCAGGCACCGAGGAGGAGGACGAGCGAGACUUCGACGCGCCUUGCAGGAGGCUGGAGAAGUACUUCAGCACAGCCAUCGACAUCUGCGGCCGGAAGAUCGUCCUCGACACCCUCUUCAGUCAGGAUGAGAGGGACGUGGAGGAGUACUUUGAAAACCUGCAGGAGUUCAAGAGGAAGACCAUGCAGGAGGAGAUGUCCAGGGCCAAGGGUCACCUGCGGCAGCUGCUGCAGAGUCACGGCAGUGCCGACGGGAUGGUCGCGCUGCUCAGCAUCUACGAGGAGGAGGACGAGUCCUACCAGGACCUGGUCACUGUGGCCACCACCUUCUUCCAGUACCUGCUGCAACCUUUCAGGGACAUGAGAGAGCUGGCAUGCCUCUACAAGUUGGAGAUCCUGAAGUCUUUGGAGUUUGAGGACUUGGGUCCUAAGAGAAUUACAGCUCUGGAGAAGGAGGCGGAGGAGUGGAGAACAAAAGCAGAAGACGCAAUCGCCUCAAUUCAGGACAUCACUGUCACCUACUUUGCACAGACUUCAAAGGCUCUAGCUGGUAUGUUAAAGCAGAUGGAGGAGGAUAAGCGUCGUUUUGGGGCUGCUGCCUGGGCGUCUGCUGCUCCUAGACUGGAGAAACUACGCUUCCUAUUGGCCAAAGAAACCCUGCAGCAUAUGAGAACUGCAGAGAUGUGCCUCAGCCGCAAGAAAGACAGCAUCAGAGAACGGAUGGGCGGCUUGUCAAGCAGAGACCAGAACCAGAGAUCUGAUCCUGGGGGUGUGUCUGAGGACGGCCAGCAGCAGGACACCGUGGAUCAGCUGGAGCUGCAGUUCUAUGAAACCCAACUAGAGCUGUAUGACACCAAGUUUGAGAUCCUGAAGAAUGAGGAGCAGCUACUGGUGGCUCAGAUAGACUCCGUGCGAAGACAGAUUAAAGAGCUGAAUGAGGAGGUGGUGUACUAUGAUGUGUGUGAGGAUCCCGAGGAGCUGCAGAGCCUGGUCCACACUGGUAUUCAACAAGCACAUUCUCCGGUUGUCAAUCAGUUCAAAAGACGCCUGCAGACCCUGGAGACCAAGAGAGGCAACAUCUGUGCCCGGCGAGCAUACCUCCGCAACAAAAAGGAUCAGUGCAUGGAGGCCAACGAGCAGAAGCAUGUCACAGCCAAGCAGAGCUCCAUAGUCUUUGCCCAGCAUCAUCAAAUCCACUUGAAACGAGAGAAGAAGAAAGAGGAGGAGCAGAAGAGGAAAGAGUGGGUUGACCAGGAGCGAGAGAAGACUCUGAGCAGAUUACGAUCCUUCAGAGAGAAGCGACACGGUCAGUACAUCCUGAAGACUCCUCAGUCCAGGAUGUCUCCCUCAGAGCCGCCGUGUCCCUCCCAGCCGCUGUCCAUCAUCAGCCUCGGCAAGUCUCCCUCCUCUGACGGCGCACCCUCCAUCCGUCCUGCACCCAGAUGCAAAAAAACACCCAAGAAACAGCAGCCUCGAGACAUCCCUGUCCAAAUAUUCGCUCCACCGCCGCCUCCGACAACAAACGCUCCUACUGUACCUCCUCCACCACCACCUCCACCGCCACCUCCUCUGCCUCCACCUCCACCACCCCCUGCCUUACCUCCUCCGCCCGUCAGUGCUUCACGUUCUGCGGAGGACAAACCAAUGCCUCUCAGUGAAAAAGAGGACCCUCCUUUUCCUGCCAAGAACAUGCUCAAACAAAACAUAGGAACGAUGGAUGAAGUGUUGGCCUCGCUGCAGCGUGGACAGAUCCAGCUUCGAAAGGUCCCCACUCCUAAGACAGAGACCCCUGCAGCUGACCCGAGGAGCAGCCUGAUGUCUGCCAUCCGACAAGGAGUCAUGCUGAAGAAGGUGGUUCCAGCGCGCUCAGAAGUCCCGAGCGGUGCAGACAACGAGCUGGAGCGCAGCAUCAAAGCUGCCAUGUUGAGGAUGAAGAAGGUGUCGGCCGACUCCGACUCUGACUCUGACGACAGAGGAGACGACGAGACGCAGAGUGGAGACUGGGACAGCUGAGGACACACACACACACACACACACACACAUGUACACAAACACACACGCCGAUGAAGCUGUUCUUACAUCACCCUGCUCUGUUUCCUUUCACGGUUCUGAGCUGCGGCUUAUGUUGCUGCCAAGUUAUCACCCUCAAAAGCUUCUUUGACGAGGGCAGGAUUAGGGCCGCCUCUGAAUUUGAUAUUGCUGUUUGCUGAAGUCGUAAUCAUCUUUGUCUUUUUCAUAAAUAGCUCAGAGAUAUUGUAAUACAUCACAAACUGCUCAAAUUCAAACAGCGAACAGCGAGCGGCAAAAAUCAGGAUUUUAAUCUCCUCUGAUUUUUAUUUUUCGUUUGCAGAAAAUCCCAAAACUUAACGAAUGAGGCUUUGAGCUUCAUCAUUGAUUUAGAAGGAAAAGGUGAAGAAUUCGUUCUGUAGUUCAGCGUGUAAAUGAUUGAAUCGGCCUUUUAUGUGACUGUCACAAAGUAGGGGGAACAGACGACUACACUACAUAACUCCAACGACACAAAUACUCCCUUUUUUCACUCUGCUCUCUCUCAACUCCGCUGACAUUCGUUACUUUGAAUGUAAUAAAAAUCUGAACAAUUAUUAUUCCUUUACUCUUCAAGGGCUACAGAAAACUGAGGGUUUAGGUUUUUUUCUUUUUUAUUACUAACUAAAGUGAGAGUGAUGUCCUGAACUGCAGCAGUGUUAAUAAUUUACAGCCUACAUGUCUAAAGUCUGCAUCGUUGUUCGUGCACUGUCCAGUCCUGUUUUUUUUUCUUUCAGAAACUUGUGAACGUGUUAUUUUAGGUGCAAUUUAUAUGUGAUCUGAUAUUUCUCCCUCUAUGAUGCCAUAACCAAUGAGAUGACAAAUGAAUGCUAGAUGUUUGAGUUUUUUUUAAACCACCGAUACUUCAUUUAAUGCAUAACUUUACACCUCUUUAUCUCUGUUGACUGUUGAAUCCUCAGAAAGGCUGGCAGGUUAUUUUGGGAAAUCUUUGUACUUAUGACCUUUGAACCUGUGAUACAGAGCACUUGGCUUUAUCGGAGCCCCUUUAAAAAGGGUUAAGGUGUAAUGUAUUAUGUACAAAUGAUAAAAAUAUAUUACUGUAAGGCAAACAGUCUUUUAAAUGGUUUGCGGAUAAAGCUAUUAACUGCUGCACUUUGUUCUAAAACCUUUUGAUUCUGCAGAGAUUGGUUUAAGGCAUGAGGUGUGUCCAGAUGUGUGUUACAGCCCCUGAUCUCCACAAGUUAUCCGCACCUGGCUGUGAUGAAGCCUCUGUUCGUCGAAAUGAGUCACAUCCUUUUAAAAGAGAGAGAGAGAGAGACGCCUUAUCAACUCAUGCCGGUGAACUCCGGGCGGCCGUCUCUCUGCAUUUGUGUGUGUGUGUGUGUGUGUGUGUGUGUGUGUGUGUGUGUGUGUGUGUGUGUGUGUGUGUGUGUGUGUGUGUGUGUGUGUGUGUGUGUGUGUGUGUGUGUGUGUGUGUGUGUGUGUGUGUGUGUGUGUGUGUGUGUGUGUGUGUGUGUGUGUGCUGUAACAUCCAGGUAAUUCAGGUGGAAGACAGGUCAUGCACCUUGAAGAAGACACACAUGGCGGACCCAGCGAUGGAGCGUCAACAUGAAAUUCUGCAGCAUGUUACCAUGGUAACAGGAAGUCUCUGUGGUAGUGGCCUGCAGUGCCAUGUCUCUCUCUCUACUCCUUUCUCUCUAUCUCUCUCUCUCUCCCUGUGACACAUGUACAGUGCAGCAUAGUCUCUUAAUGAUGUUUCACCAACUCGCCCACUCAUCACCAGUCACACAAUGAGCCUUGCCGAGAGAGUUAAAGAGACAGCGAUGAACAGUAGAGAGAGGGGACACACAGAAAGGCUGCAACUAAUUUUUUUUAAAUUACCGAUCAACCUGUCAGCUACUGUUUCAUUGAUGUUAUAAAAAAAGUCCUAAAAGUGACUAAAUCUAGAGUCAACAAUAAUACCUAAACUUUUGUUUUGUCCAAACAGUCAAACUAAACUAAAAGUGUAACUAACUUUAUCAUACUAACAUGCUCACAGUGACAAUGUUAACAUGGAGACGUUCAGAGGAUAAUGUUUACUAUAUUCACCCUCUUAGUUUAACUUGUUAGCAUGUUAACAUUGGCAAACUAGAAUUGGCUAUGUCAUUAGUUUUGCAGGUUUUUGGUCAUAAACCAAAGUAUUUUUGACCUGAUGGUGGUGCUGUAGUUUAACUCAGAGGAUCAUUAAAGUCACAGCUCAUCCUCUGAGCACAAUCUGUGUCUAAUGUCAUGUCAUUACUUUUUUGUUGAGACAUUUCACUAAAAACAACCUCAUUGUGGCACUGGAGGAAAAGUCAGAGGAUUCAUCCCGUGGGUAUCAUGAAUGUCCAGCAGCUGCCAUGGUGAUAGCAUAGCAAAAAGUUUUAGAGAGGCUGCAACUAUAAUUUUCAUGAUGGAUUAAUUUAGAAGAAAUUUUGCAGAUAGUUUCUCAGAGCCCCGAGGUAUCUCCAUAUUGUUUAUGUUCAACUGUCCAAAACCCGAAAAUAUUCAGUUUAAGAGUUUGGAAGAAAAGCAAAAGCGUCUGUGAGGCUGGAACCAGGAAAUAUUUGACAUUUUGAUUUGAAAAGGGAUUAUAUGAUUAUUCAGUUGUAAAAAUAAUUAAUUUGGAUUAAUUCAGCAAAUUUUUUAUCUCUAAUAUUCAGUUUACACAAAAUGAACAAGACAGAAAAAGCUCAUGAUGUUUAUUAAACAGGAACUGGAAAAAAUUAAAAUCUGUGAAGUGACAUUUUUAAUAGUCGAUAAAAUUUAAUUGUCAAAUAUUUCCUGGUUUCAGCUUAUCGAAUGUAAACGUUUGCUGCUUUUUCUAUAAUUUAUAUCAUUUUAAAUGUAUAUUUAUCUGCAAGAUGAUGCUCGGGGUUAUUUCUCAUGAGGCCUUUUUCCAACGUUUUAUAGAAAUUAUAACGAUGGGUAGUUGCAGCAUCAGAGCGGGUCAUUUUGCAUCAGCCAAAUUAAUUAAUGAACUGAUCAUCUCUGCACUAAAUUGAUUGUUUAUGCUGCUUAUUCAUUUUCCACCUGUGCCAAACAUCUCGCCUUUGAAGGUGAGAAGGAAAAUUAAAUAGUCCCAGGGAGUCAAACAUCCACGAGUCUCACUGGCUGUGAAAGAUGAUUGACUCUUGUGUAAUUAUAAAUUAAUUGUUGGGAUGUAGCUCUGGAUCCAUACUUCUCAUAGUCCAUCAUCCACAGUGUUAUUUAUCACAAAAAGAGGAGUGAGUGGGAUUAAGUUGCCAAGGCAACGUGUCCUCUGAUCCACCUCUGCAGUUGUUUCCUCAGUGCUGUGAGGACAUCGGACUUUAAAGGUUUUUCCAUCCUUCAAACAAGCUUGUGUGUUUUUGCUCUGAUUGUUCUGAUCUCAGAAAAAAAUGAUACGUGUAAAUCACUGUGAUAAAACUUUACUCAUGUGCUGUCUCUGUUGGGAUAACAGCUAUAUUUAGUGCUAUGUAAAUCAACAGUGGAGAAAAGACGUGCUGUGGCGGAGCCUCGACAGGAUGCAGCUCCCUCCUCCUCUGAGCUUUUCAUCCAGGAAAAAUGCCUUAACACUUUCACAGUGUCAGGAAUCAUAUUUGUAAGCUCUUUUUUUUUCACCAUGUUGAUUUCUACACAGCACCCACAAUA